UUGUGUUUCCAGAGUAAAGAUGCGAGGAACUCGUCGAUCAGCUCGAUUGACUGGAGUCCCACCAGAGAAUGAACCAGCUGCUCGUCCUCCUGCAUUGCCAAGGGCAAGGUCUCAGAGAUCUAGCAGGGAAGGUACGUCAAUAGACCCGAGAAGGUCUGUCGACGAGAGCAGAAGAGGAACAGCUAGGGGAGGAAGAUCAGAGGAAAGGAGGGAAGCUAUGGAGAUUGAUCAGUC
This 234-nucleotide long non-coding RNA is filed under the name Manihot esculenta (cassava). Its description in RNAcentral is "long non-coding RNA (MESC_LNC000286)". Lineage: Eukaryota; Viridiplantae; Streptophyta; Magnoliopsida; Malpighiales; Euphorbiaceae. The record is from RNAcentral.